GUUGGCAGUGGAAGCAAGGGGGUCUUGCUGGAGAUCCCUGUGUACCUGUGCCUUUCUGAAGCAGAUGGGCAAUGGCUGCGAAUGGCCACAUCCCACUGGCCCGGUGGCCCGGCGGGGACGUUUGUCACCGUCUGCCGGAGCAGCGACACGAGGAGAGCGGAUGGGAAAUCAAUACGGAGACUGCGAGCCGCGGGACUCGGGGACCCGCUGCGCCAGGACCUUUUAUUGGAUUUGCCAUCUUCCUCAUUGUUCCUCUGCUGUUUUUUUUGUAUCCCCUUCUUGCUUUUUAUGGUGCAGAAUUGGAUUUGACUCGAUUUUCCUUCGUAUUGCGCUGCAGCCAGCCUGGCGCAGCAGCACCACGAGCCCCAGCCCCGUGGUGAUGUCUUGGUCUCACCCUGGCACCUCCUGGGGUGAUGGGGUUAUUUAUGGUGGCAAAAAUUGGACUAGAAGGACGAGGGAGCGGUUGGGGGCUGCUGAAUUGCUAAGGCACUCUGUGCAGCGGGAUCUGCUGCAGUUGUCUUGGUCCUGAGCCACGGUAAUUGUAUUCUAUGAAAUAUUUAUUCAUUUUCAUUUCAAUUUCGUUUCCAACUUGUAUUUCCUAUAAAAUGAUGUGGAAGGGGAGGCAGGAAAAAAAAAAAAAACCAUCCUCAGUGCAUUUAUCAUCAUAACAGGUUCCUUCCCAAACCUUUCCCCAAAGUGGCACUGGCGGGCAGGACCACACAGAUCUGCUGUUCCUACACCUCGAAGCGUUAUCUAUCAUCGUGCCGGGGGGGCCGGGGCUGCAGGAUCCAGCUCAGCCUCCAGCAGAAUGCCCCAAAUCCUCCACGCAUCCCUGGGAUGGCUGUAAGGGGAUCGCAUCCGCCAACGGGGCAGUAAAUUCAAGAUGAUGACCAUAUCAUCUCCAUCCCCAUCAGUGUGAAAGUGUUUCCCGGGUUAUUAUUAUUUGCAGGCUGAUCGUAGGCGCCGUCUGAUAACAGCUGAUUGCUUCUCCUCCCAUUUGCAUACAAUAAAUAUCACCGUCGAAGCGUGCAGGGGAGAGCUGAACGGUGCUCAUGCCUUAUUUAUGAGAAAUAAACACGAGAUCAAGUUUGCAUAAUCAACACAUCUUUAAUUUGUGAGCUCUUCCACUUGGGUCUCGGGCUGCAAUCAGACCCCGUGGCAAUCAGGUUGGAAAUGUCUUCAUUAAGCGCCUGUCACAUCCCAGAUCCCAUUUUAAACUUCUGAUAGGAAGCGGUGGAG
This 1239-nucleotide long non-coding RNA is filed under the name Gallus gallus (chicken). RNAcentral describes it as "lncRNA (ENSGALG00010026799.1)". The record is from RNAcentral. Lineage: Eukaryota; Metazoa; Chordata; Aves; Galliformes; Phasianidae.